UAUUGCACUUUUUUGCUUUGA
RNAcentral lists this microRNA (21 nucleotides) under Branchiostoma floridae (Florida lancelet). Its description in RNAcentral is "bfl-miR-2059-3p". The record is from miRBase by way of RNAcentral. Lineage: Eukaryota; Metazoa; Chordata; Leptocardii; Amphioxiformes; Branchiostomatidae.